CAUGUUGAGCCUCUCACGCCUUCCCCCCAUGACUCCAUCAGACGUUCAUGGUACAGUUGCACGAUAAUCCUAAUUACAGUUUACACUUCAUCUCAGAUCAUUCUAAGGGACUAAGCUGCUGCUUAAAGAGCAAAGGGAACCUAGUGUUUUACAGACGAUACACAGAACAGGUUUUUUGUUAGGGAGAAUGAUAUCAUUAGAAUGAUAUUUCUUUCUAAAAUAGAAAAUCUGGAGUUCCCGUUGCGGCUCAGAGGGUUAAGAACCUGCAUAGUAUCUGUGAGGAUGCAGGUUCAAUCCCUGGCCUCACUCAGUGGGUUAAGGAUCUGUGUUGCCACAAGCUGUGGCAUAGGUUGCAGAUGUGGCUGAUUCAACCCCUAGCCUGGGAACUUCCAUAGGCCACCAGUACAGCCGUAAAAAGGGGAAAAAAAGUACAGUAUCUUUUACAAGAUACUAUUGUAUAGGAUACCUAAAGUGAUUUAUGAGAACAGAAACUGAAGCAGUAGAAAAUUAUGUCUGUGUAUGUAUACAUACAUAUCUAUUCCUUUUAGUUAAGAAAAUGAAAUAAUUGUCAGUUCAAGUAAUAUUUUGACAAUAGGAGCAAUUCCAUUCAAUGGAUGGCCCUUGAGCAUGAACAGAUUCUCAUGAAUAAAGAGGUGCUCAGAACUGUAUUUAUCUUAAAAUGGAUUUGUUUUAGUGGGUAUUUUAAGGGAAGUAUAUAUUAAGUUAAAAGAGUAUUUUAAUAAGAAAGCUUUCUGGGGCUUUUUGUCAUUUAGCACCAAUCAUAUUUUAAUUGGCUUCCAUUUGUUGCUCUUGUGUUUUCAGAAGAGAGUGUACAUCUUCUGAAGUUAAAAAAAAAAAAAACAAAAAAAAAAAAAAAAAAAAAAAAAAAAAAGAAAGAAAGAUUGGAAAAUUCAGGUCCUUAUAGGAAGGGGAAAGGAAUAAAGAAUACUUUGGAGGCCUCCAACAAUAUCCACUCUACUUUCCAAUUAGCCCAAGCUCCUAAUGGUUAUGCACCUCCUGCCAUAGUCAUCUCUGGGUUCCCAGCAUGUAGCAUGGUGCUUGAUACAUGCAGAGCAGAUAAUGAAUAUGCAUUUGCUUAGCUGAAGAGAAUUGAGCUUGCCUGGAACUGAAAACACAUCUAUAUAGGGCCCACCUUUGUCCGUGCUCCCCACUUUAGCUCUGCAGAUUCCACCUCCAUGCUGCCUGCCUCCUACAGAUACUUCUCACCCUUCCACCGUAUGAAUUCUUCUGCCUAAAGUGGAUUCCCACUUCCCUUAUCCUAGGUUAUUUUCUCUCAGUCAAAAUUCAGCUUAAACCCCACUCACACCCACCCCGAGCCCCAAAAGAUCUUCCUUUUAGAGGCUCUCUAAGGCCUCCCUUACAAGUGGAAGAUUCUGUGAUAAAUGCACGGACAUAGCACUAGAAAUGAUGGAAACUUCAAAAGAGAAUGGUUUGUCAGUCAGUCCUUUUUUAUUAAAUAUUCCCCGAAGGCAACCAGGGAUAUAUAAUCUUUUGAUUAUUCCUUCAAAAGAAAGAGGAUAACAGAGUAGAGAGAGACUAGACUUUGCAAACGGGUCUGGGUCACAUCCUGGUCCCAUCACUUCCUAGCUCUGAAAUGUUGGGCAAGCGAUUUAACUUCUCUGAGCUCAGCUCCCUCCUGUGUAACGUGAGGGAUAAUAACACCACCCAGCAUCAUAAUAAGGGUUAAGUGAGAUGCGCUGUGUAACGAGGCUGGGACAGUAUAGACGUCAUCCCCUCCUCUCCCUUAGCAUCCAGAGGACAUUGCUGGUUUGCGUAGUGAUUGAAGUUCCAUGAUAACAAUCUCCAGGCGAUCCAGACUAUAGCAGCAGCUCCCCAUUACUGAGUAAGGUCUUCUCAGGCUGCUUCUGGCUUCUCAGGCUCUGAGAGCAGGAACUUGAGACUCCUGAGCCAUCUUUGAUCAUUUCACCCGUUUCCCCAAGAGGAAGUCAUCCGCCUGCUUUGGCGUGCCUUGGAUUUGCUUUCCUGGUAAGGUAGAAAAUAACCAGCCUGCCAUCUGUGGUCACGCUGAAGAUCCAGACAAGCAGAAAGUCAGGACUGCUGUGGCAUCCAAGGGGUUUUAAUUGUCCUUGAGGUUGUCCUAACUUUGGGCUCUUGCUUCCCCAUAGGCGGCCUCCCUGAUAUAAAAACUCAGCCUCAUCUCCUAGUUCCAGAAAUAAACCUACUUAAAAUGUGAGGCAGGGAGAGAAGUUGUCCAUGGACCUCAAACACCUUCAGAUUUAUGAUGGAACAUCCCUAGUUUCAAAACCCCAUACUAGGCUAUUAUCCAGUUAUUUCUACAGACUUCGAUACCUCCUUUUGGUUCCUCUCUCGCUAUUCUUUUUCCUGCCCUUUCUGAGUUUUUGCCACAAUUUUCUGUGGGGAACAAAACAGAGUUUCUCUCACUAUCUCCCUCAAGGCAUUUUAUCAUCAAAUUCUGUGGCUUUGACUAUGGGUCUCCUUCUACCCUGCAGAGCUCAUCAAAAAUUUUCAUUGAAAAGGGAUAGUUUCCCUCCUUCUGCUAUCAAUAAUCAUUAUUAAUAACAAAUUCAUCUUAUAUAUAAGUAUGAAUGGGCUUUUUUUCUUCUGCAAAAUGUACAGAAAGGGUCAUCCCAUGGAAAGGACUACAAAUGCUCUAAAAUCCCAGUGAUUAAAAACAGAAGUCCAUGGCUUCAUUU
RNAcentral lists this long non-coding RNA (2696 nucleotides) under Sus scrofa (pig). RNAcentral's name for it is "lncRNA (ENSSSCG00050050831.1)". The record is from RNAcentral. Lineage: Eukaryota; Metazoa; Chordata; Mammalia; Artiodactyla; Suidae.